RNAcentral lists this small RNA (129 nucleotides) under Marmota monax (woodchuck). The record is from RNAcentral. Lineage: Eukaryota; Metazoa; Chordata; Mammalia; Rodentia; Sciuridae.
GCCGGGCGCAGUGGCAUACACCUGUAAUCCCAGCAGCUUGGGAGGCUGAGGCAGUAGGAUCGUGAGUUCAAAGCCAGCCUCAACAUAAGCCAGGCAGGCACUAAGCAACUCAGUGAUACCCUGUCUCUA